ACAGGAGAAAGGGGGCAGGGCUUCCAAAGGGUAUGAAAUAUGUUUAAUGUUUAUACUUCAGUACACUAGGAAGACUACAUUAGCUCUAUAGGUAAAAAGAACAAAAUCUACCAUAAGCAAGUUUAAACAGUAAAGAUAACAUGGCUGACAUAACAAAAAAGUUAGAAGGAAUAUAGUCUAUAAUGGUUUGAUUGGGAUUCCACCUCCAUUUUUCUGUGAUUCUUUUAGCUUUGCCCUGCUAUGUUGACUUCUUCCUCAGGCUAGCUUCCUGUAUAGUGCCAAAAGGGGGUGCAGCAACUCCAGGCUUCGUGUCCUACCACACUACAUCUCAAAACCUAGCUUUUGCCGGGCGCGGUGGCGCGCGCCUGUAGUCCUAGCUACUCGGGAGGCUGAGGCAGGAGGAUCGCUUGAGUCCAGGAGUUCUGGGCUGCAGUGCGCUAUGCCGAUCGGGUGUCCGCACUAAGUUUGGCAUCAAUAUGGUGACCUCCCGGGAGCGGGGGACCACCAGGUUGCCUAAGGAGGGGUGAACCGGCCCAGGUCGGAAACGGAGCAGGUCAAAACUCCCCAGAUGGGAAGAG
Molecule: non-coding RNA, 578 nt
Organism: Castor canadensis (American beaver)
Lineage: Eukaryota; Metazoa; Chordata; Mammalia; Rodentia; Castoridae
Source: RefSeq, a predicted model, not a curated record